GACGAACGCUGGCGGCAUGCCUAAUACAUGCAAGUCGAGCGAACAGAUGAAGUGCUUGCACUUCUGACGUUAGCGGCGAACGGGUGAGUAACACGUAAGGAAUCUACCUAUAAGCGGGGGAUAACAUUCGGAAACGGGUGCUAAUACCGCAUAAUAUCUUCUUCCGCAUGGAAGAAGUUUGAAAGACGGCUCUGCUGUCACUUAUGGUUAACCUUGGGUUGCAUUAGUUAGUUGGUGGGGUAAUGGCCUACAAAGACGAUGAUGCAUAGCCGACCUGAGAGGGUGAUCGGCCACAGUGGGACUGAGACACGGCCCAAACUCCUACGGGAGGCAGCAGUAGGGAAUCUUCCGCAAUGGGCGAAAGCCUGACGGAGCAAUGCCGCGUGAGUGAAGAAGGCCUUCGGGUCGUAAAACUCUGUUAUAAGAGAAGAACAAAUUGUAGAGUAACUGCUACAGUCUUGACGGUAUCUUAUCAGAAAGCCACGGCUAACUACGUGCCAGCAGCCGCCGUAA
RNAcentral lists this ribosomal RNA (513 nucleotides) under uncultured bacterium. RNAcentral's name for it is "partial 16S ribosomal RNA". It matches the Rfam family "Bacterial small subunit ribosomal RNA", at positions 28 to 523 of the family's 1533-position model. The record is from RNAcentral.